UCCACUUUAACCAUAUUCCAGUAGAUUUAGGAAAUUAUAUUUAAAGACAUACUUAAGUUUAACUAAUUGAAUUUAAUAUGAAUUUGAACUGUGAUGAUUUAAAAUGCAGUUAAGUGUCUGAAAACAUUACAUUUAGCUCAUUCUUCUUUUAUAAUAUUUCAUUAAUAAUAUUCUUUUUAAAAGUAUACUUAAGUGGACUUCUUUUUCACAAGGGUGGGCUUGAAUGAAAAAAGACUGUCCUCCGCUGAAGUUGUCUUAAGUUGAACUGGUUCUGGGAAGCCUCUGUCUCAGGUGUACGUGGAGCUGAAAAACAGCUUGUGUUCUUGUGAGGGCAGGGAGAGCGUGGAUCACGACACGCUUCUCUCUCAGUCAUCUCCAUUGACAGCGGUUGCUAUGCACAGGACGAGACUGAGAGAUGGUCAUGCGCUUCAGCUGGUACACAUGAAUGAACAUGUCCAUUAUGACCCUGCUGUUACAUACACUCUCAGCCAAUCAUGCAGAUCUUAAAACAGAGUGUACAACCGAAUAUAGCUGCACAUAAACAGCAAUCUAAUGAACAUUCAAAGAGUUCCUUCUCCCCUCACAUCAAAAAAAAAAAAUAAAAAAAAUAAUACAAUAAUAAAAUUCAAAGAUGUAACCGUUAAUAUUAAUUAAUCGACCUGACAAUUUAAUUAAUGUUAACAAAGAUUAAUUCAUAUCGCUCAUUGUUGGUUAAUGCAUUAAUUAACAUUUACUAAUAGACCUCAUUGUAAAGUGUUUCCCAUUUUGCUUGAAGAAACUGAAGCCUAUUUUUAGCACUAUUAAUGAAACUCUUAAACUCUCAUUAUUGAUUCUCAUUACUGUAGCCCAAUAAAAACAAACAAACAGUAUAUUAAUUGAAUUUGAUAGCAUUUAUACGUAAUCGUAUUUGUUUUACAACUUUCAAUUUUUUCUGAAUUAACACAUUUUUUAAUCGUGGUAUUUUUACUGUAAUACAAUAAAAGAUUAUAUUAGAGAAUCUGCGGUAAUCAUAACUUAGAUUUAUGAAAAUUAUAAAUAAAUGAAUAAGACAUCAAAAGACAAUAUCUUAAUGGUCUUAGGCCUCCUUUUUUGUUUAUACUAAAUAAACACAUAUUGAUUUAUUUUUGGUGAAACACUCAGAAAGACUUCACUGAUUUGUUGUUACCAUCGUGUGAGACUUUAGGCGGUUAUUCAGGACAUGUUCUUAUUGAAUAAUACGAUAUCUUUGACAUAAUAAAUGGGUUUUAAUUUAAUGUUUUAGUGCUAGUGGAAAUUUUGGAGAUACAUUUUUUUUUUUUUUACAAGUUGAUUUAUUUCUAAAACUCUUUCACCCAAAACACAUUUUAAUUGAGCUGUUUAAAGAGAACAGAUGAUUGUCUUGUACAGUCUGCAGUGAUAGGUCUUUGCUUGCCUCAUGAGUUACAUAAUCACGCUGAAAUGCCUCACUUUUACAAGUUUGAGCUGAAUUGAAGAGUUGACCUGCUGUAGGGUUCCUGCGGAGAAACAACAUCUGCACUCGAGUACUUACACGUUCAUGUUACCUCUGUCUGUCAGAGCAGGGCAUCAGUUCAUUUUAUCCAUUACCUUUGUCAACUAACACAGACAAACAAACCUUUCAGAAAUACAACAAUCUCUCUGCUCCCACUCUCAGACCGAACAAAACGAGUUGGGAUUGAUCUGUGUAAAUCAUUUAUCAUUGAUCCAGGGUUUCUCUGCGUCUUGUUGAGUCCCAGAUGGAUUCAGCUGACAAUACUGAUUGUGUUGAAGAAUGAGUCCCUUCUGCCGACCACUGAUUUAAGUUUAUUUUCUGUUCCCUUACGCAAUGAAAGUGUGUGUGUGUGUGUGUGUGUAUAUAUACAUACAUACACACACACACAUAUAUAUGUAUAUAUAUAUAAAUAUAUAUAUAUAUGUAUAUGUACACACAUAUAUAUAUAUAUAUAUAUAUAUAUAUAUAUAUAUAUAUAUAUAUAUAUAUAUAUGUGCAUAUAUAUAAAUUAAUGAUCAAUAUAUUAAAUGAUUUAAUGUAUACUGAAAGUCUGCAGAAUAAUAUAUUGUGUUAAUAUAUUACCAUAUAUUAAGUAAUAAUGAGUUUCAUGUAGAGAAAUGUGAGAAUAUAUUUACUUCCAUACUGUAAUGUAUAUAAUUUUAUAUUGAAUGAUACACUUCCUAAUACAUAGAUGUAUAUGUGAAAAUAUGGCACUAUAUAUAUAUAUAUAUAUAUAUAUAUAUUCAUUUGCUAUUUUUACAUGGGAAAAUAUGUGCAAUAUAUGUACACAAUCAAGA
Cyprinus carpio carpio is the source of this 2286-nucleotide long non-coding RNA. NCBI's taxonomy places the organism in Eukaryota, Metazoa, Chordata, Actinopteri, Cypriniformes, Cyprinidae. The record is from Ensembl.